CCUACGGGUGGCAGCAGUGAGGAAUAUUGGUCAAUGGACGAAAGUCUGAACCAGCCAUGCCGCGUGCAGGAAGCAGGCUCUAUGGGUUGUAAACUGCUUUUAUACAAGGGUAAACCUAAAUACGUGUAUUCAGCUGAAAGUACUGUACGAAUAAGGAUCGGCUAACUCCGUGCCAGCAGCCGCGGUAAUACGGAGGAUCCAAGCGUUAUCCGGAUUUAUUGGGUUUAAAGGGCGCGUAGGUGGAUUGUUAAGUCAGUUGUGAAAGUUUGAGGCUCAACCGUAAAAUUGCAGUUGAAACUGGUAGUCUUGAGUAUAGUAGAGGUGGGCGGAAUGCGUGGUGUAGCGGUGAAAUGCUUAGAUAUCACGAAGAACUCCGAUUGCGAAGGCAGCUUACUGGACUGUAACUGACACUGAUGCACGAAAGUGUGGGGAUCAAACAGGAUUAGAUACCCCAGUAGUC
Molecule: ribosomal RNA, 460 nt
Filed under: uncultured bacterium
Lineage: Bacteria
Description: partial 16S ribosomal RNA
Rfam family: Bacterial small subunit ribosomal RNA
Source: RNAcentral